GAGCAAACCACCUUCCGGUCACCGCUCGAGUCCCGUGCCAUCUUGUAUUUAGCAAAGAACAAAAACGGCGUGAGAAACGAGCCCGACAUCGGGGAGGGGCGCGGGUUUUGAGUCGUAUUUUGAGUGGUUUUGUUUAAUAAGAGGUCCGGUGUUACAGGACAGUUAUGCUCGGAAUCGCGGCACCGCGGAGAAACAUCAGCCACACCCUGGAGAACAGCUAACGUUAGCUCCGGAGCUAUCGAAGCUAAGCUAGCCAAUUAGCUAAAGCUAGUACCGAACCAGCUAAACCAGCGCCUAAACCGUCGAUCAAUUUCACAAUUGGCACUUGAGCUGAAAAUGGAGCGGACGUCGUGUUGAUCAUCGGCUGACGGAGGAGACGCGGGCUAUGAGGACAGAGGCUCGGUAGCUUGGCUGCUAACCGUUUGUGUUUCGUUCCCGCAGCGGAACCACAAUAAGCCGCGCAUUAACACGUUAAUAAACCACACUGAUCCGAGCGUAGUACCACAUCAGGUGUCUUCAGCGCCGUGCAGCGUCCAUCCAUCCGUCUGCGAACCGCUUAUCCUGCACACGGGGUCCUGGGGGGCUGGAGUCCAUCCCAGCCAACUUCAGGUGAUAGACGGGGUUCAACAAUACAACACGGGGAGAACAUGCAGACUCCACACAGAAAGGCCUCUGGGCCGAGUCGAACCCAGGACCUUCUUGCUGUGAGGCGACAGUGCUAACCACCACGCCCCCGUGCCGCCCCGCCCUGCAGUGUCCCUGAUAAAACGCAUUCAUUGUCAUCGGGACAUUUUGAUAUGAGCGUUAAACGUCUAUUAUUCUUGAUUGUGAACUUGCAUCACUUUAGUCUGGAGGAGUUUGUUACAGUUAGUGAGACGCUAACACUCCGAAGCAUCAACCGGUCUCCUCAGUCCCUCGCCAAAGGUCUCAUGCUGGAUUCGGGUCCAACCCAAAUAUGUGAGUUGGAGGUUUUUCCCUCAUAGGAUUCUUCGGGAACUUACUUCCUCCUGUGGAGAGCUGCUUCUUUUCCGUGGAAAAUGACAAGAAAUAGAAACGAGAAACCGGCGAAUGGUGACAAACCACGAUGCAUCUUAAAGUCCAAACGAAGAAUUCGUGUUUUCACCUGAACAGCAUUUAGACUCUUCUGUGGAUACAAAAUCAUACUGACUAGACGUGACAAGAACGUAAACACGGUUAUGACAUUAAUCAGAAAAAACACAGGUUUCAUUUCAUAAUCAUCGCCCGAUUAUCAAUGAGAUGCAGAGAUGCGCGCGGAGCAGAAACAGCUUCAGCUCGGCGCCGAGCCGACGUAGAGGAAAGCGCAGCCAGCAGCGCUUGUGAGUCACAUGACGCAGGCAGAGGCGUCUGGUCGACUAGUCGUCCAAGG
Gasterosteus aculeatus aculeatus (three-spined stickleback) is the source of this 1387-nucleotide long non-coding RNA. The record is from Ensembl. NCBI's taxonomy places the organism in Eukaryota, Metazoa, Chordata, Actinopteri, Perciformes, Gasterosteidae.